RNAcentral lists this ribosomal RNA (1880 nucleotides) under uncultured eukaryote. Its description in RNAcentral is "SSU rRNA". It matches the Rfam family "Eukaryotic small subunit ribosomal RNA". The record is from RNAcentral.
AUUAAGCCAUGCAUGUGUAAGUAUUAAUGAGAGUUUAAUAGUGAAACUGCGAAUGGCUCAAUAAAACAGUUAUAGUUUAUUCGAUGAUAUCGAGGUUAUUUGGGAAUAACCGCAGUAAUUCUGGGGCUAAUACAUGCUUAAAAGGGAAAUAUUUCAAAUUAAAAAAAGGAUAUUUUACCUGUAUUUAUUAGACUUGAAAAUCGGAAAGAACCGUCAAAAAGUUCUUUUAUACUGUAGUUGAAUCAUAAUAACUCAAAGAAUUCUAUUCACGUAGAAUUUGACAAACGAAUCGUAUGACCUUUUGUGUUGACGAUAAAUCGUUCAAGUUUCUGACCUAUCGAUUCAAGAAGGUAGUGUAUUGGACCACCUUGAUUGUAACGGGUACGGAGAAUUAGGGUUCGAUUCCGGAGAGGGAGCCUGAGAAACGGCUACCACACCUAUGGAAGGCAGCAGGCGCGAAAAUUAUCCAAUCCUGAUUCAGGGAGGUAGUGAAAGAAAUAAUGAACUAGGAUUUAUCCUGGGAUCACAAUGGGCUUGAUUUGCAAACACUUAGCGAGGAACAAUUGGAGGGCAAGUCUGGUGCCAGCAGCCGCGGUAAUUCCAGCUCCAAUAGAGUAUAUAAACGUUCCUGCAGUUAUUCGAUGCUCGUAGUUGGAUUUCUGAGGUUGAGACGGGAGGGUGGCUAUGGCCAUCGCCCGACUCUUUCCUCAUCCACCUGUUUGCGAAGUCCGGGAUUGAUUUCUCGGCUUCGGGCGCAGUAUCUUACCAUUUCAAUAUUCGUAGUCUUCAUCGAUUAUGUUGUUUCUUUGAGCAAAUUAUAGUGUUUCAGGCAGGCGUGCGCCGGAAUACAUUAGCAUGGUAUAAACGAAUUGGACCGUGUGCCCGUAACUGGGCUUCUCCUUAUUGUUGGUUUGAAGGACACGGAGAUGGUUAAUAGGGACAGCGUUUAUUUCACAAGGAGGCAUUAGUAUUUAAUUUCCAGAGGUGAAAUUCUUUGAAAUAUUAAAGACUAACUUAUGCGAAAGCAUCGUUUGCCAAUGAUGUUUUCAUUAAUCAAGAACGAAAGUUAGGGGAUCGAAGACGAUUAGAUACCGUCGUAGUCUUAACUAUAAACGAUGCCGACCAAGUUUUCGAGGAAUUCUAUUGUUAUCCCCGGCUGUAGCGAUACAGCUGGGGAUAAAAGAUUCUCCGAGCGCUUUGUGAGAAAUCACAAGUAUUUGGGUUCCGGGGGGAGUAUGAUCGCAAGGUUGAAACUUAAAGGAAUUGACGGAGAGGCACCACCAGGAGUGGAACCUGCGGCUUAAUUUGACUCAACACGGGGAAACUUACCGCGUCCAGAUGUAAGAAGGAUUGACAGAUUGAAGAUCUUUCUUGAUUCUAUGGGUGGUGGUGCAUGGCCGUUCUUAGUUGGUGGAGUGAUUUGUCUGGUUAAUUCCGUUAACGAACGAGACCUCGACCUGCUAAAUAGUCCACGGAAUCUUUCGAUUCUCGUGUUACUUCUUAGAGGGACUAUCGGUUUGUAGCCGAUGGAAGUUCGAGGCAAUAACAGGUCUGUGAUGCCCUUAGAUGUUCUGGGCUGCACGUGCGCUACACUGAUACGUUCAUCGAGCUUACAACCUUGACCGAGAGGUCUGGGUAAUCUUAAAAUGCGUAUCGUGAUGGGGAUAGAUUAUUGUAAUUUUUGAUCUUCAACGAGGAAUUCCUAGUAAACGCGCGUCAAUAACGCGCAUUGAUUACGUCCCUGCCCUUUGUACACACCGCCCGUCGCUACUACCGAUUGGAUCGUUUAGUGAGGUCCACGGACUAUUUGCUCUUGGUUGGUUCGCCUUCCUUUAGCAUUUGGGAAGUGGAACAAACUUGACGAUCUAGAGGAAGUAAAA